CGGACGGGUGAGUAAUGUCUGGGAAACUGCCCGAUGGAGGGGGAUAACUACUGGAAACGGUAGCUAAUACCGCAUAACGUCGCAAGACCAAAGAGGGGGACCUUAGGGCCUCUUGCCAUCGGAUGUGCCCAGAUGGGAUUAGCUAGUAGGUGGGGUAAUGGCUCACCUAGGCGACGAUCCCUAGCUGGUCUGAGAGGAUGACCAGCCACACUGGACUGAGACACGGCCCAG
This 231-nucleotide ribosomal RNA is filed under the name uncultured bacterium. RNAcentral's name for it is "partial 16S ribosomal RNA". It matches the Rfam family "Bacterial small subunit ribosomal RNA", at positions 99 to 334 of the family's 1533-position model. The record is from RNAcentral.